UACAGAGGUCCCGAGCGUUGUUCGGAUUCAUUGGGCGUAAAGGGUGCGUAGGCGGCGGGGCAAGUCUGAUGUGAAAUCCCGGGGCUCAACCCCGGAACUGCAUUGGAUACUGCUUUGCUAGAGUACUGGAGAGGGAACUGGAAUUUACGGUGUAGCAGUGAAAUGCGUAGAGAUCGUAAGGAAGGCCAGUGGCGAAGGCGAGUCUCUGGACAGUUCCUGACGCUGAGGCACGAAGGUCAGGGGAGCAAACGGG
RNAcentral lists this ribosomal RNA (253 nucleotides) under uncultured bacterium. Its description in RNAcentral is "partial 16S ribosomal RNA". It matches the Rfam family "Bacterial small subunit ribosomal RNA", at positions 524 to 776 of the family's 1533-position model. The record is from RNAcentral.